GAAACCAACAGGGAUUGCCCUAGUAACGGCGAGUGAAGCGGCAACAGCUCAAAUUUGAAAUCUGGCGUCUUUGGCGUCCGAGUUGUAAUUUGCAGAGGGCGCUUUGGCAUCGGCAGCGGUCCAAGUUCCUUGGAACAGGACGUCACAGAGGGUGAGAAUCCCGUACGUGGUCGCUAGCCUUUACCGUGUAAAGCCCCUUCGACGAGUCGAGUUGUUUGGGAAUGCAGCUCUAAAUGGGAGGUAAAUUUCUUCUAAAGCUAAAUACUGGCCAGAGACCGAUAGCGCACAAGUAGAGUGAUCGAAAGAUGAAAAGCACUUUGGAAAGAGAGUUAAAAAGCACGUGAAAUUGUUGAAAGGGAAGCGCUUGCAGCCAGACUUGCCUGUAGUUGCUCAUCCGGGUUUUUACCCGGUGCACUCUUCUGCGGGCAGGCCAGCAUCAGUUUGGGCGGUUGGAUAAAGGUCUCUGUCAUGUACCUCUCUUCGGGGAGAACUUAUAGGGGAGACGACAUGCAACCAGCCUGGACUGAGGUCCGCGCAUCUGCUAGGAUGCUGGCGUAAUGGCUGUAAGCGGCCCGUCUUGAAACACGGACCAAGGAGUCUAACAUCUAUGCGAGUGUUUGGGUGUCAAGCCCGAACGCGUAAUGAAAGUGAACGGAGGUGGGAACCCCUCGGGGUGCACCAUCGACCGAUCCUGAUGUCUUCGGAUGGAUUUGAGUAAGAGCAUAGCUGUUGGGACCCGAAAGAUGGUGAACUAUGCUUGAAUAGGGUGAAGCCAGAGGAAACUCUGGUGGAGGCUCGCAGCGGUUCUGACGUGCAAAUCGAUCGUCAAAUUUGGGCAUAGGGGCGAAAGACUAAUCGAACUAUCUAGUAGCUGGUUCCUGCCGAGCUCC
Molecule: ribosomal RNA, 890 nt
Filed under: Xenodidymella camporesii
Lineage: Eukaryota; Fungi; Ascomycota; Dothideomycetes; Pleosporales; Didymellaceae
Description: partial large subunit ribosomal RNA
Rfam family: Eukaryotic large subunit ribosomal RNA
Source: RNAcentral